RNAcentral lists this long non-coding RNA (1320 nucleotides) under Pogona vitticeps (central bearded dragon). RNAcentral describes it as "lncRNA (ENSPVIG00000005876.1)". Lineage: Eukaryota; Metazoa; Chordata; Lepidosauria; Squamata; Agamidae. The record is from RNAcentral.
AGCCUUCCUCCUGCUAGUUGGAUUUCUGUGUGCAGGAAGUUUGAGUCAAGAUCUGUUCAGUCACCUCCGUGCCCUACCUGGAAUCUGAACUGCUGUGGUCUGGAUUCAGGUUUCCUCUCUCCAUGUUGUACUUUUGGCAGACUAAGGUGCCUCUGCUGUUUCACAGCCCCCUCCUUGCAUUCAGAGUUUUUAUUCUAACCGGUCGUCUGUCCUCUUUAUUCAGGAAGAGGCUUCUCUGCAGAGGCGGCAACGGACGGCCAAGCAGGGCCUGGUGGGGAAGGUGGCUAGCUCCUACGCUGAGCUCUUUCAGAGGGAUCUCACCAGCACCUUGGCAGCCACCGGGCCUCACCCACGGUUUUUGGAACCUCCUCCAUCCUUCACCACCACCCAGUCCUCUGAAAGUUCGCUCAGCCCAGAUUCUGGUGCUCCAGACCGAAGAACGGGUAAAAUAAAAAGUCUGUCUUGCUCCAAGGAAUCUUAUGCAACAACUCGUCUUUCACUCUCCUCCUCUCUGGGAGCAUUUUCGUCCCGCAGAUCGUCUUCCCGGACACCCGUGGGCCCCUCGGUUCUGUCAGCUGAUGAAACAGAGGAUGAUCAAGGAGGCAGGAAAGAGCCAGACCGCCCUCCCGAGACCAAGGAGAAGAAGACUCCGAAGCACAAACCAGCUUCCCCGCACGUACCCCAAGUCGUCGUCCGCCCGGGCUCCGACACCAAGCCCGUCCUCCCGCCCAUCCCGUCAGGCCGGAAGAGACCCAAACCCCAGCCCUCUGAAAGCUUCCUUCCAGCCAUGAUACCGAACCCUUGGCCUUAGCCCUCCAAUCUCUCAAUCUCUCUCUCUCUGUCUCUGUUUCCUCUUUUCAAUGAGAAAUGGGUGGAGGCAAGUGCCUGUAAAUAGCUUAGACUGCUAACCUUCCCUGCCGUGUAGGCCACCAGGAAGGGCUCUUGAGGCAAAGAGGCCGUCCCAAUUAAGGUGUUGGCUUCUUUGGGGGGGGUAGGCGGGCACCUCUUUUCUAACAUGGCGUUCCUCUCGGGACCCUUGCCAGUGAAUGGGGGUCCAGUUUUUGUAACUUAACUUGUUACUUAAAUAUAUUCUCAGUUUCCUGACAGUUUGCAAAGCCCCUUUGGAAACAGGAAGAAUUUUUCUUCAGGCGUCACUUUUAUAGCCCCCCCCCCAAUACCAUCUGUACCACAAAGUGGAGGGCUAAUAUUCAAGCGACGGCAAGGUUACUUAGGGCUUGAUUCCCCCUCCUCCCCCGUAAGUGACAAAGUAGCCUAUUUUUGCACUCUAAAAUAAAUUAAGUGUGCCAUGUGACUACUGCA